This 352-nucleotide ribosomal RNA is filed under the name uncultured Racocetra. RNAcentral describes it as "SSU rRNA". It matches the Rfam family "Eukaryotic small subunit ribosomal RNA", at positions 569 to 929 of the family's 1831-position model. The record is from RNAcentral. Lineage: Eukaryota; Fungi; Glomeromycota; Glomeromycetes; Diversisporales; Gigasporaceae.
AGCAGCCACGGUAAUUCCAGCUCCAAUAGCGUAUAUUAAAGUUGUUGCAGUUAAAAAGCUCGUAGUUGAAUUUCGGGGUUCUACCGUUGGUCGGGCUUUGUCUGUACUGGCGUGUAGAAUUUCUACCUUCUGGGGAACCAUCAUGUUAUUAAUUUAACGUGGUGGGAAACCAGGACCUUUACCUUGAAAAAAUUAGAGUGUUCAAAGCAGGCUUAUGUCUGAAUACAUUAGCAUGGAAUAAUAGAAUAGGACGGUGGUCCUGUUUUGUUGGUUUCUGAAUCACCGUAAUGAUUAAUAGGGAUAGUUGGGGGCAUUAGUAUUCAAUUGUCAGAGGUGAAAUUCUUGGAUUUAU